RNAcentral lists this ribosomal RNA (368 nucleotides) under uncultured Hyphomicrobiales bacterium. RNAcentral's name for it is "bacterial SSU rRNA". It matches the Rfam family "Bacterial small subunit ribosomal RNA", at positions 1136 to 1504 of the family's 1533-position model. Lineage: Bacteria; Pseudomonadati; Pseudomonadota; Alphaproteobacteria; Hyphomicrobiales. The record is from RNAcentral.
CACUCUAAGGGGACUGCCGGUGAUAAGCCGGAGGAAGGUGGGGAUGACGUCAAGUCCUCAUGGCCCUUACGGGCUGGGCUACACACGUGCUACAAUGGUGGUGACAGUGGGCAGCGAAGCCGCGAGGCUGAGCUAAUCUCCAAAAGCCAUCUCAGUUCGGAUUGCACUCUGCAACUCGAGUGCAUGAAGUUGGAAUCGCUAGUAAUCGUGGAUCAGCAUGCCACGGUGAAUACGUUCCCGGGCCUUGUACACACCGCCCGUCACACCAUGGGAGUUGGUUUUACCCGAAGGUGCUGUGCUAACCGCAAGGAGGCAGGCAACCACGGUAGGGUCAGCGACUGGGGUGAAGUCGUAACAAGGUACCCGUA